RNAcentral lists this ribosomal RNA (358 nucleotides) under uncultured Rubellimicrobium sp. RNAcentral's name for it is "bacterial SSU rRNA". It matches the Rfam family "Bacterial small subunit ribosomal RNA", at positions 28 to 412 of the family's 1533-position model. The record is from RNAcentral. Lineage: Bacteria; Pseudomonadati; Pseudomonadota; Alphaproteobacteria; Rhodobacterales; Roseobacteraceae.
AACGAACGCUGGCGGCAGGCUUAACACAUGCAAGUCGAGCGGGCCUCUUCGGGGGUCAGCGGCGGACGGGUUAGUAACGCGUGGGAACGUGCCCUUUGCUCUGGAAUAGCCCUGGGAAACUGGGGGUAAUACCGGAUGUGCCCUGAGGGGGAAAGAGUUAUCGGCAAGGGAUCGGCCCGCGUCUGAUUAGGUAGUUGGUGGGGUAACGGCCCACCAAGCCGACGAUCGGUAGCUGGUUUGAGAGGAUGAUCAGCAACACUGGGACUGAGACACGGCCCAGACUCCUACGGGAGGCAGCAGUGGGGAAUCUUAGACAAUGGGCGCAAGCCUGAUCUAGCCAUGCCGCGUGGGUGAUGAA